UACGUAGGGUGCAAGCGUUGUCCGGAAUUAUUGGGCGUAAAGAGCUCGUAGGCGGUUUGUCGCGUCGAAUGUGAAAACCCGGGGCUCAACCCCGGGCCUGCAUUCGAUACGGGCAGACUAGAGUUCGGUAGGGGAGUCUGGAAUUCCUGGUGUAGCGGUGAAAUGCGCAGAUAUCAGGAGGAACACCGGUGGCGAAGGCGGGACUCUGGCCGAUACUGACGCUGAGGAGCGAAAGCGUGGGGAGCAAACAGG
This 252-nucleotide ribosomal RNA is filed under the name uncultured bacterium. Its description in RNAcentral is "partial 16S ribosomal RNA". It matches the Rfam family "Bacterial small subunit ribosomal RNA", at positions 524 to 776 of the family's 1533-position model. The record is from RNAcentral.